RNAcentral lists this long non-coding RNA (841 nucleotides) under Nicotiana benthamiana. Its description in RNAcentral is "long non-coding RNA (NBEN_LNC002937)". Lineage: Eukaryota; Viridiplantae; Streptophyta; Magnoliopsida; Solanales; Solanaceae. The record is from RNAcentral.
GAACACCUUCCUAGACCAACAUUUAUAUUUAUCUAUUUUCUUCUUUUUAAAUUUCUUUUGUUUAUUUUGAUUCUACUAAAUAGAACAAACAAAACGAUUUGGAUUAAAGACCCAAAAGACGACGUUUAUAUAACUGUCACCAGAAAAGAGCCACCCUUGCGAUUAUCUAUCUUCCUCAUUAAACCAUUUAUUGAAACUGAUGGCAUGACUUUUCUCUCCGUUGUAGAAAACUAAUUUCUUCCCUAUCUCUUAAUACGAGGACAAUCAGCAAAUCCACACUGAAUCUUCAACAAAGUAAGAGCACUUAAUAUCAGCCGAUGUUACUUUCUCUCUCACUUUGCUACUGUUUCUUCCCUUUUUUUCGUUUUCCUUUUUAAUUUGAUAGUUCUAUCUAUUUGCCUUUUUCAGUUCCCAUUAUUCUGAUUAUAUUGGCAGUUUUUAUUCCUUUUUUCUUUGUUGAGUAGUCUUUCCCUUUUGGGGCUUUAUUUAUUUCAUAAUUCGUUGUUAUUCUGCUUGCAACUUUGCAUGCAGUUCAAAUUUGUCUAAUUGAGUUGCUUAAUAAAAUCACUUAUUGGCUGAUUCUCGUGUUGAUUUCCUCUUUUACGUUUCAGCAUUCGCCCUCUAACAUUAAUUUCAGUUCUUUCCGUCAACAAUUUUGAGCAAAACUAAUCUCGCCCGUUUGUGUUGUAUUAUUUCAACAGCUCUUUAAAUUUAUUUAACUACUUUGGUGAAACACUUCCUUUAUUCGUUGUUAUUUUGUUGAUUAUUCCCUCUUGUUUUUUGAUUAUUCAUGGUCUUAUAGCAGAGAUGUGGCCGAGUGCAGAACGAGAGCUUACAUAGG